RNAcentral lists this ribosomal RNA (474 nucleotides) under uncultured Sterolibacterium sp. RNAcentral describes it as "bacterial SSU rRNA". It matches the Rfam family "Bacterial small subunit ribosomal RNA", at positions 906 to 1382 of the family's 1533-position model. Lineage: Bacteria; Pseudomonadati; Pseudomonadota; Betaproteobacteria; Nitrosomonadales; Sterolibacteriaceae. The record is from RNAcentral.
GGAAUUGACGGGACCGCACAAGCGGUGGAUGAUGUGGAUUAAUUCGAUGCAACGCGAAAACCUUACCUACCCUUGACAUGUCCGGAAUCCCGAAGAGAUUUGGGAGUGCUCGCAAGAGAACCGGAACACAGGUGCUGCAUGGCUGUCGUCAGCUCGUGUCGUGAGAUGUUGGGUUAAGUCCCGCAACGAGCGCAACCCUUGUCACUAGUUGCCAUCAUUUAGUUGGGCACUCUAGUGAGACUGCCGGUGACAAACCGGAGGAAGGUGGGGAUGACGUCAAGUCCUCAUGGCCCUUAUGGGUAGGGCUUCACACGUCAUACAAUGGUCGGUACAGAGGGUUGCCAAGCCGCGAGGUGGAGCCAAUCCCUUAAAGCCGAUCGUAGUCCGGAUCGUAGUCUGCAACUCGACUACGUGAAGUCGGAAUCGCUAGUAAUCGCAGAUCAGCAUGUCGCGGUGAAUACGUUCCCGGGUCUU